Molecule: unclassified non-coding RNA, 608 nt
Filed under: Hevea brasiliensis (rubber tree)
Lineage: Eukaryota; Viridiplantae; Streptophyta; Magnoliopsida; Malpighiales; Euphorbiaceae
Source: RNAcentral
GCCAGAAUAAGUUAAUUAUUAGAAAUUGGCUCAUAGUUUUUGAGUAUUGAUACAUCUUAGCAAGCAAACCAAAACCAUGGGCUUGGGCUACCAACUCAAUGGUCGAGUGCUUACCUCGUAAUGCAGAAGAAGUUCAAGCUCAAACUACUCUAAUAGCCUCAACCCGUCUAAAAAUUUUCUAAGUACCAAAAAAAUAAAAGAGCAAGCAAACCAAAGCAGUACAAUUGAAUUCAGAUAAAGAAUGGUGAAAUUAAGCUGUCAAAUCACAUCAAAGAAUAUGAAAGAUGCAUUUGCAGCUAAAAACAAAGGGAAAUCAGAAACUACACGUUUCUGGAACACUCUCUAUUUCAUUAUACUCCAACGUACUUGCUUCAGUGUGUGGAAACUUCGAUCUUUGCGCUGUUUUUGUUGCCUGAUACCCUCCAAACUCUACAUAUAACAGACUGGACUGAACAAGCUUUGCAUGGGUGACUUUCAUCUAAUUCAUCACAAAGAUACUUGCGAUAUAAAAAUAGUAAUCUAGAAAGUUCUUGAGUAUUUCCUGAUCUCAUACAUGAUUGAUGAAAUGGACACAAGGUCCUUGUUCAGUACAGACCCACCAACAAUCC